CGGCGUGCCUAACACAUGCAAGUCGAGCGCGAUUAAGUGGAGUGGCGACUUCGGUCAAAGCGAAACUUAUGAAAGCGGCGGACGGGUGAGUAACGCGUGGGCAACCUGCCCCAUACAGAGGGAUAGCCACUGGAAACGGUGAUUAAUACCUCAUGAGUCAGUAAGGUCGCAUGAUCUAGCUGACAAAGAUUUAUCGGUAUGGGAUGGGCCCGCGUCUGAUUAGCUAGCUGGUGAGGUAACGGCUCACCAAGGCGACGAUCAGUAGCCGACCUGAGAGGGUGAUCGGCCACACUGGAAUCUGAGACACGGUCCAGACUCCUACGGGAGGCAGCAGUGGGGAAUAUUGCACAAUGGGCGCAAGCCUGAUGCAGCAACGCCGCGUGAGUGAAGAAGGCCUUCGGGUCGUAAAACUCUGUCCUAUGGG
This 424-nucleotide ribosomal RNA is filed under the name uncultured bacterium. Its description in RNAcentral is "SSU rRNA". It matches the Rfam family "Bacterial small subunit ribosomal RNA", at positions 40 to 444 of the family's 1533-position model. The record is from RNAcentral.